Molecule: long non-coding RNA, 422 nt
Filed under: Gossypium raimondii (Peruvian cotton)
Lineage: Eukaryota; Viridiplantae; Streptophyta; Magnoliopsida; Malvales; Malvaceae
Description: long non-coding RNA (GRAI_LNC010406)
Source: RNAcentral
CUAUUUCGGUGUCGAAUACGGGUAAGGGGUGUUACAGGGAGGUUCCGCUAGAAAAUUUAGCAGAAAAGAUACUCUCACAAUGAUUACAUUAUGCCUUCAACUUGUCUUUGUUCUCACAUUCAAGCUUUGUCAUUUCAUCUCACACCUUUGAAGUAGUAGACUUUUGACAUUUGAGACCACUUUCAUAUAUAUUAAAUCCAUCACCCACAUGUAUUGGAGUGUUUGAACUAGCCAUUGUCAUAAAAUCUGAAGUCCUGAAAUCGUAAAAACUCAAUUAAUAUAUAAAAAAUAAAAAAAAAGAGUAGAAUUACUUUCUAAAUACAUAUAUGAUUGGCUAUGGCAGCAUGAUUUGAAAGCUUGCUAAAGUACAAGUACUAAUAGUGAAUUUUGAUCAUUCAUUUUCUUAGGCAUACAUAUUUAAC